GCCCGGUGUUUUCUUGGCAGUGUGCAUUCGAAGGACAUUACUCAAACAAGACAGGAGGAGGAUGUGAGGAUAGAAGAGGAGGAGUAAGAGAAGAUUAUGGAUGCAGAGAGAGAGUUUUCUGAGGUAUUAGCGAGUUCUACAACCUGCAGUAAACUAACUUAAGGUAGCGUUCUGAACUGAUGCAUUGAUGAGAAUUCCUCUGGCUUAGAGGGAGAAGACUGCUUGCUGUACUGGUCGUGGGUCGUGUGAGAGACGGAGGCUUUGCUGAACAUCGCUCCAAUAAUCGAGGCUCAUCCCAAGAUCUGAAAAUGCCAGCACAAUCUGAAUUACAAAUGAUCCUCAGCGAUCUCUUGAUGAAGAACACGCCACCUCCUGAGGAACUGUGAGCAAAAACCAC
RNAcentral lists this long non-coding RNA (397 nucleotides) under Astyanax mexicanus (Mexican tetra). Its description in RNAcentral is "lncRNA (ENSAMXG00005018634.1)". Lineage: Eukaryota; Metazoa; Chordata; Actinopteri; Characiformes; Acestrorhamphidae. The record is from RNAcentral.